CAAUAAGCGGAGGAAAAGAAACCAACAGGGAUUGCCUUAGUAACGGCGAGUGAAGCGGCAACAGCUCAAAUUUGAAAUCUGGUUACUUCGUAGCCCGAGUUGUAAUUUGUAGAGGAUGCUUUUGGUGAGGUGCUUUCUGAGUUCCCUGGAACGGGACGCCAAAGAGGGUGAGAGCCCCGUACAGUUAGAUACCAAUCCUUUGUAUAGCUCCUUCGACGAGUCGAGUAGUUUGGGAAUGCUGCUCUAAAUGGGAGGUAUAUCUCUUCUAAAGCUAAAUAUAGGCCAGAGACCGAUAGCGCACAAGUAGAGUGAUCGAAAGAUGAAAAGCACUUUGAAAAGAGAGUUAAACAGCACGUGAAAUUGUUGAAAGGGAAGCGCCUAUGACCAGACUUGUUUCUAUCAGUUUCGGUAGUUCUCGGACUGCUUUACUCUGUUAGUACAGGCCAACAUCAGUUUGUUGUCGGGGAGAAAGGUUUAGGGAAUGUAGCUCCUUCGGGAGUGUUAUAGCCCUUUACAUAAUACCCUUCGGCAGACUGAGGACCGCGCUUCGGCAAGGAUGUUGGCGUAAUGG
RNAcentral lists this ribosomal RNA (571 nucleotides) under Huntiella sp. RNAcentral's name for it is "LSU rRNA". It matches the Rfam family "Eukaryotic large subunit ribosomal RNA", at positions 44 to 637 of the family's 3401-position model. Lineage: Eukaryota; Fungi; Ascomycota; Sordariomycetes; Microascales; Ceratocystidaceae. The record is from RNAcentral.